GCCAGGUGUAGGGGUGUGCACCUGUAGUCCUAGCUACUUGGGAGGCUGAGGUGAGAGAAUUGCUUGAGCCCAGGAGUUCUAUGCUGCAGUGAGCUAUGAUCACAUCACUGCACUCUAGCCUGGGCACUAGAAUGAGAUCCUAUCUCUA
Papio anubis (olive baboon) is the source of this 148-nucleotide unclassified non-coding RNA. It matches the Rfam family "Metazoan signal recognition particle RNA". Rfam says of the family: The signal recognition particle (SRP) is a universally conserved ribonucleoprotein. It is involved in the co-translational targeting of proteins to membranes. The record is from Ensembl. NCBI's taxonomy places the organism in Eukaryota, Metazoa, Chordata, Mammalia, Primates, Cercopithecidae.